Molecule: long non-coding RNA, 2372 nt
Organism: Oxyura jamaicensis (ruddy duck)
Lineage: Eukaryota; Metazoa; Chordata; Aves; Anseriformes; Anatidae
Exons: 2
Source: RefSeq, a predicted model, not a curated record
UGCAGCAGCUUCAGCUGAUCAAGGGCCAGUCCAGCUCCCCUCAUGCCUUCUCCUCCGAUAUGAGGUUCCUUUGCAAGUGACACAGAAAAGCAAAUUACUGCAUCAGUAAAAAGUUCCUGGUUUCCUACAUGUACUCCUCUAAGGCUAUGCAGAGCUGCCUACCUCUUAAUGCGGCCAAGCUAGAUUUGUAUCUGUCACACUGGAGGGGGAAAGUUGGAAAUCAUGUGGCCCUGCUUUUCUUGUCUUAACAUGGCAGCUGUGUGUAUGAGUACAUGCACCAGACCCACAGACUGCUGAGGAGGUGGUGGUGGGGUCAAGCCCCUUUAGCCCAGUAGUUUAGUGAUUGGGGCACUUAGUGAGGACAGGUACAUACACAGAUCCAAAUCAUUUCAUCGCCCAAGAAUGAAAUCACCUUCAUCAUGAGAAAGCUGUUAUCACCAGCCAAUAUGUCUGAAAGGUUUUUUUUUUUUUUUUUUUUUUCACUUUUAAGUGUUGAAGCUCUUCUGUAUACUAAUAGCUCUAAGUUGUCAAAACCAGUGAUCCCUUAGUCACUAAUACACCUAGUAACAGUAGUAGAAAUAUCUGGAUUCUUUACCUUAUAAAGUUCAACUGGAGAGACUGAAAGUGCCACUCCAGAAUACUGCCUAAAGAGGCAGCAUUUUGGAAGAUGAUGAUGCUGCAGAAAAAAGUCUGAGCAUCGGGUUUUCUAUGUUAUGUAAUUAGACUAAUGGGUAAAUGAAAAUACUGAUACCACCCCUUACAUGUGCAUAUGACAGAGUAAGAAAGAAAAGAAUAGCUUUAGUGUUCUUCAAUUUAGGAGAGGACAUUUAGCAUCAAAAUCCUAGAGAAGAGCUGUGUUUAAAGACACAGCCAUCUUCUGAUUAUGUUUUUUUUUUUUUUUUUUUUUUUUUUUUAAUAAAUAUGGUGAUUCGUGGAAAAAUCUAAUUCUUAGCUGGGUCAUUCCUCCAAGAAUUCAAGAGAAAAAAAAAGCCAUAAACGUAAUAUCAAAAGAAAUAUCUCCUUUGUAAAUCUAGUCUGGUGUAGUCUAUAAUGCAGCAGAGCAGAGAAUUUUUGAGCCCUCAGACUUUGCUGACACACAAGCUCACCCAGACAGCACAUGAUGCGAGCUAAUUGCUUAACCAUGUACUGUGCUCUAAAGCUGGGCAGCUGAGAGGCUGCAGCCUGAGUCUUCUCUUGCUUUCCCUCAACAGGAUUUCAGUGCUUUCCAGGUAAGAGACAAAAGGAGGUGCCUGUAGCAAACUGAGAAAACACACAAAGGGAGACAAGGGGUAGUGACUUAAGCAAUGAAAUUGAAGGAUGGAAAGGUAAAAGACUACCAAAAAUAUUACAAAAGGUGAAGUGACUUGCUCAUUCAAAGACCAAUUUUUUCCUCUACCUUCUUUUUCCUUCCAGUUCAGUUACUGCAUUUAAGCUGAUACACAGUUAUCUCCUGUGUGUAAAUCCCUGAGAGGCAGUAAGUCUGCACAAAGGAUCGACUGCCAUGCAGUAACCUCCACCUAUGAGAUCAACACCAAUGGCUCCAUCUCCUGUUUUGCCUUGCACAACAUGAUUCCAGGACCCGUUGCAAAAGUGAGAACAUGGGAAACAGUGGACUGGGUAAAGCAGGUGUCCACUGAGAGACUACAGAACAUGGGAAAUAAAUGAAGGACCAUGAGGUAAAAUGUGUAAUCUCAGCUGAAACAGAUUGAAUUGAAAAAUACUGAGAAGAAAUAGAUGGAAAGUUUAGAUUUGUACCAACAGGCAGAAGAACCCUGACAUACAAAAUCUUCCAAGAAAAACUUAAGUUCUCUCAAAUCUUUAGCAGCCUUCCUAUAAUUUCUCAUUGUAUACCAAUUGUGUAUUUUUUUAAUUUCAGUUAAAAUAUGCAUCUAAACUUCUUAAGACAAGUCAUUACAGAAUUACAAGUUAAACAAGUACCAGAUUUAGGCUUUUCCCCAAAGCCUUGAUGAUUAACAACUAACCCGCUCCAACACAUCACAAUAGCAAAAGAGAAGAGAGCCACAUAUGGUCUGAUAAUAAACUAUUCUGAGGUACUAAUAAAAGUGAUAUAUUUUUGAAAUGUAUACAUCAUAGAUAAAAAUUCUAGCAUCUCCCUAUAUACUACGUACCUAGACACCUUUAUGUUAGACAUUGGCUCCAGAAAAGACAAGGUACAGUCUUGGGACACUGAGCCUGAAAUAAAUUUAUUCCCUCAUUCUUGAAGUAACACAAAGAUGGCUCUCAUACAUAUAAAAUCCUCCUUUCUCAAAGUACCACAUUCUUCCAAUUUAUUUCCAAUGCUUUAUGUAAGUCUUCACUACUUCAGGAGCUUUAAUAAAAAAACUACUUCACCUUUACUAUUAACGUGCAGA